UAACUGAAGAGUUUGAUCAUGGCUCAGAUUGAACG
Molecule: small RNA, 35 nt
Filed under: Bombyx mori (domestic silkworm)
Lineage: Eukaryota; Metazoa; Arthropoda; Insecta; Lepidoptera; Bombycidae
Description: ovarian small RNA-19003
Source: RNAcentral